CCCUUAGAUGUUCGGGGCCGCACGCGCGCUACACUGAAGGAAUCAGCGUGCUCUUGUCCUGGUCUGGAAAGACUGGGUAACCCGUUGAACCUCCUUCGUGCUAGGGAUUGGGGCUUGCAAUUAUUCCCCAUGAACGAGGAAUUCCCAGUAAGCGCAAGUCAUCAGCUUGUGUUGAUUACGUCCCUGCCCUUUGUACACACCGCCCGUCGCUACUACCGAUUGAAUGGCUUAGUGAGGCCUCCGGAUUGGCUUUGGGGAGCCGGCAACGGCACCUCAUGGCUGAGAAGUUGGUCAAACUUGGUCAUUUAGAGGAAGUAAAAGUCGUAACA
Molecule: ribosomal RNA, 329 nt
Filed under: uncultured eukaryote
Lineage: Eukaryota
Description: partial 18S ribosomal RNA
Rfam family: Eukaryotic small subunit ribosomal RNA
Source: RNAcentral